This 352-nucleotide ribosomal RNA is filed under the name uncultured fungus. Its description in RNAcentral is "eukaryotic LSU rRNA". The stretch from base 1 to 71 matches the Rfam family "5.8S ribosomal RNA", at positions 84 to 154 of the family's 154-position model. The record is from RNAcentral. Lineage: Eukaryota; Fungi.
GUGAGUCAUCGAGUCUUUGAACGCACAUUGCGCUUCCUGGUAUUCCGGGGAGCAUGCUCGUUUCAGAAUCAUUAAAAAACUCACAAACCUGUUGUGUUUCAUUGCACAGCUGGCGAGUGUAUUUGGGCGCUUUGUCUCUUGAACCAGACGAUCGCUUUAAAAUGAUUGUGUGCGUAACCUGAUUCUCAGCAAUCAGUUUAACCCUCAGUGCAACAGAUAAUGGAAACACUUUGGGUGGCUGAUAGGUGGUUUCGAUUACGUGUCUCCAACUCAACACAGUGUUGGUUGCAAGUUUUGCGAUCAGCUCUGAAAACUUGGUCUGAAAUCGAGCAAGAAAACCCGCUGAACUUAA